CCACCUGCCGGUUGUGGAGCAAUUUUAAGAACCUCCGGAUGUCCUGCUCCACCAAAUGAACAGAACUGUAGCAUUGGGAUAUGUCCAGGAGAGCCGCCGCGUACCCAGCUGCCGGGUUUCUGUGGAGGUUCGGAGACGGCGGAGAGGAGAGGCGGAUGGGGUUGGAGAACGAAGGGGUGGAAGAUAAAGGGGGAGGCUUUUGAAGAAAAGAUGGGGUCUUGGUGGAGAUGAAGCUGCUGGGUUUGGUGGUGGUGGAGUGGAGGCUGUGGAGGAGGUUGGGCGGCUGUGGUUGCGGAGGGAGUUUGUGAGUUUUUCUGGGACUUUGAGGAUUGAAGUGGUGGAGCUCGCGAGACGAUGUGGUGGAAUGGAUAGUGGAGACAUUGAGGGUUGACACAGAGCUUGAGAAGGUAUCCAUGGAGGAGAAGGAGAUGAUGAGGAUAAAUGUCAGUAAAUGAAUAUUGGGUAAUAUCUA
Molecule: long non-coding RNA, 472 nt
Filed under: Malus domestica (apple)
Lineage: Eukaryota; Viridiplantae; Streptophyta; Magnoliopsida; Rosales; Rosaceae
Description: long non-coding RNA (MDOM_LNC000880)
Source: RNAcentral